CUUACUAAAUAAAGUACAUAGCUUUCAAAAGCCGACCUUUUACACCUAACUCCAUCUCCGAGAAAAAACUUUACCCGGCGGCGGCCACCGGGAAUCGGCGACUCGCCGGCGGAAUCGGAGGAUCGCUCCGACGAGGUAUAGUUGAGAAAGCUUUUAAAAAAUGAAGGUUUUUGUGAAAACUUUGAAAGGAACUAACUUUGAGAUCGACGUUAAACCUGAAGACACGGUGGAGGAUGUCAAAAAUAAUAUAGAGAUAGCACAGGGUGCAGAUGUUUACCCUGCUUCACAACAGAUGCUAAUUCAUCAAGGGAAAGUUCUUAAGGAUGGUACAACACUUGAGGAAAAUAAAGUUGCUGAAAAUAGUUUUAUUGUCAUUAUGUUAAGCAAGAGAAAGGUUUCACCAAGUGGAGGAUCAACUGCCUCAUCCGCACCUCCAAGCCAAGCCCAACCUGCAAGCACUUUGCCUCCUAGUGCAACACAACCAUCAACAACCGCUCAAGCUCCUGCUGUAACUGCAGAACUACCACAAUCUGCUGCUGAAUCUACACCUGUAGUUAAUCCUGUUUCCAGUUCAGAAACAGAUAUUUAUGGACAAGCAGCAUCAAAUCUUGUUGCAGGAAGUAAUUUAGAGGCUACUGUUCAACAGAUACUUGACAUGGGAGGAGGAAGUUGGGACCGUGAAACUGUUGCGCGUGCUCUACGUGCUGCAUUUAAUAACCCUGAAAGGGCUGUUGAAUAUCUUUACUCUGGCAUUCCUGAGCAACCUGAAGUCCAACCACUUCCUCGAGCUCCAAGUAGUGGACAGGCUGCAAUUCCAUCUGCCACGGCUCAAGAACCAGCAGCACCUACCAGUGGUGGGCCAAAUGCAAACCCUUUAGAUCUGUUUCCACAGGGCCUCCCCACUAUCGGUUCCACCACUAGUGCAGGCACCUUGGAUUUUUUGCGCAAUAGUCAACAGUUCCAAGCUCUGCGAGCCAUGGUUCAAGCAAACCCCCAAAUCCUACAGCCUAUGCUUCAGGAACUCGGGAAGCAAAAUCCACAUCUUAUGCGGCUCAUUCAAGAGCAUCAGGCUGAUUUCUUACGCUUGAUAAAUGAACCUGUUGAAGGAGACGGGAACCUACUUGGCCAGUUGGCCUCAGCAGUUCCACAGUCUGUUUCUGUCACCCCUGAGGAGCGUGAGGCAAUUGAGCGUCUUGAAGCAAUGGGCUUUGAUCGAGCCAUAGUAUUGGAGGUAUUCUUUGCAUGCAACAAGAACGAAGAACUGGCGGCUAACUAUCUACUAGAUCAUAUGCAUGAUUUUGAGGAAUGAAUUCUAUUUACUGAAAUUUGGAUACACCAGUACACUACUGAAGGAUGCCGUCACAUUCUCUACUAUGUGGUCACAGAUUAUUUUCUAUUCUCCUGUAAAAUUUUCCAAGAUGGUUAAGCAUUAGGAAAUGUAAUAAUUAUUCCCAGCUGGCUCUUUCAGUUAAUUACUGGUGUAAGGUGGGGUCCUGGUUGAUACGGAGGAACAAAUUCUGAUGAUUUUAGAGUGUUAAUUUGAACAUGGCCGGCCUUGCCCUUUUUCUUUCGUCAAAAUGUGGGCCUGAUUGUGGUCACUGAUCACUUUCCUUUGCCUGGAGUUUACCAUUGAAAUGACUGCAGUUCCUUGAGGCAGUGGUCAUGACUCGUGACUUUGCUUACUUGUUCUUGCAGGAUUUCUACAUAUGUCCCCCUCGAGUUUUUCCUACUUUUUUUGGGGGUUCAAUGCAAAUUCUUCUUUUAUAUAAUUCUUAGUAAGCACAGUUAAGAUGCAUCAUAUCUUUUCCUCAAUAGUAAUUAUCUAUUAUAUUUCAUACAUCAAGUAAAGUGACUCGAGUGGAAUAGGAAAAAAACAUGUUUCUUCUAAAAUAUGGUUUAGAAGUUCUA
This is an RNA transcript of Ricinus communis (castor bean), 1908 nucleotides long. It is a transcript of the gene named ubiquitin receptor RAD23d, with no coding region annotated. The transcript has 14 exons. Lineage: Eukaryota; Viridiplantae; Streptophyta; Magnoliopsida; Malpighiales; Euphorbiaceae. The record is from RefSeq and is a predicted model, not a curated record.